Molecule: non-coding RNA, 40 nt
Filed under: unclassified sequences
Description: DUF805b RNA
Rfam family: DUF805b RNA
About the family: Bacteroidetes, Chlorobi (1 example), Proteobacteria. Lineage (Flavobacteria)
Source: RNAcentral
ACGGAGAACCCGAAAAUCCGGACAUGAAAAAGAGUAGGAA